UAAAGCUUGUUUUUCACAGUUAUUUGGUCACUUGUAUGCAUUUCACACAUCUGGAACUAGUUCUAGAUAGGUGACAGAAAGCCAUUAUUUGAUUGCAGGACCUGCAGCCCCCCUGUCACCCAGUGUGUUCUUGGUGAGAGAUCAGGAUGCUGUCGCCUGCCUGAUCAGGAACUUCUACCCCAAGGAACUCCAUGUAUCCCUGACCUCCUCCGGGACCCUGAUCUCAGCUCAGAGCCUGUCUCUGGCUCCAACGGCCAGUGGCACCUACAGUGCUAUCCACAUUGGCAGGGUUGGUGAAAAUGAUGCAAUAACCUGCUCAGUGAAGCAUCUUGGGAAAGAGAUACAUAUGUCUCACCAGGCAGUUUCAGAUCAUACUGGACCAGACCCUGGGAUUGCCUCUGAGCUGAAACUGUCUUGCCCUGAGCAGGAUAUCACAAGACCCGAGCAGGGAAACAAACUACUCCUCAGUAUGCUGGGCCUGAGAUUGCUAUUCAUGAAGACUGUGGCCGUCAAUGUCAUAUUUACCACCAUGACCUUGAUCUUCUAAGAAAGAACCUUGAGGAAGAUCAUCUAAGAAGUCACUAUUUGGAUCCUGGAUACCUUUGGGGACCCCAGAAUGACCUCUGGAUUACCUCAAGAUAAAUCCAGAAUGACUCCAAGGACUCAUAAUUAACCUAGUUGCAUUCAAUCUCCUUUGAACCACAAACUCUUCAUUUCUAGGUCCAUGUCUUCCAUGAUAUAUUAUUUUUCAUGCCUUGUCCUAUAAUAAAGACAAGAAAG
Non-coding RNA from Monodelphis domestica (gray short-tailed opossum), 780 nucleotides. The record is from RefSeq and is a predicted model, not a curated record. Lineage: Eukaryota; Metazoa; Chordata; Mammalia; Didelphimorphia; Didelphidae.